This 522-nucleotide ribosomal RNA is filed under the name Salmonella enterica. RNAcentral's name for it is "partial 23S ribosomal RNA". It matches the Rfam family "Bacterial large subunit ribosomal RNA", at positions 671 to 1191 of the family's 2925-position model. RNAcentral also lists the same sequence under 3 other names. The record is from RNAcentral. Lineage: Bacteria; Pseudomonadati; Pseudomonadota; Gammaproteobacteria; Enterobacterales; Enterobacteriaceae.
GGGAAACCGAGUCUUAAUUGGGCGUUAAGUUGCAGGGUAUAGACCCGAAACCCGGUGAUCUAGCCAUGGGCAGGUUGAAGGUUGGGUAACACUAACUGGAGGACCGAACCGACUAAUGUUGAAAAAUUAGCGGAUGACCUGUGGCUGGGGGUGAAAGGCCAAUCAAACCGGGAGAUAGCUGGUUCUCCCCGAAAGCUAUUUAGGUAGCGCCUCGUGAAUUCAUCUCCGGGGGUAGAGCACUGUUUCGGCUAGGGGGCCAUCCCGGCUUACCAACCCGAUGCAAACUGCGAAUACCGGAGAAUGUUAUCACGGGAGACACACGGCGGGUGCUAACGUCCGUCGUGAAGAGGGAAACAACCCAGACCGCCAGCUAAGGUCCCAAAGUCAUGGUUAAGUGGGAAACGAUGUGGGAAGGCCCAGACAGCCAGGAUGUUGGCUUAGAAGCAGCCAUCAUUUAAAGAAAGCGUAAUAGCUCACUGGUCGAGUCGGCCUGCGCGGAAGAUGUAACGGGGCUAAACCAUG